AACGGGCAUCUACAGCGAGCGGGUUAUUUGGUGAGUGGAUGGGAUGUUGUCUAGAGGGAUGUUGUGAUUAUGUGGUUAGGAGUGAUUUUAGUUGCAUCUGAUAGUCACAGUGAGCAUUUCCAUGACGACUCUGCACCACGUCUUCUAUCAGAUGUGAAUUCAUAGUUAGAGAUCCAAAUUUCCAAAAGCAAGAACAUUUUCAGGCAGCUAAACUCAAUAGAUUUUCAGUCAUGGAUUCCACACUCGUAAUUGAACAAGGGCCCCAGCGCGUAAUUGAGCAAGGUGUUAUUGUUAUUGAGCCUGGCAAGCUCAAGGUCGACUGGCACAUUCCAAUCUUGGCGCAGAUCUCGUCGUCAUCGAGCACAGCUUCCAGAUUUGCCAACACCUGUGGCCCAUACUCCACCACCAGCAGCUUGCACUGCACAGAAACAUGUCACACUCGCCUCCUUUAAAAACCAGCUCGAAUUGCCAUUACCUCAUCCUCAUGGUUGUGCAAUUUCUGGCAGUUGGCCAGCAGGAAUUCAAUCAGCUUCUCCUGGUUGGUGAUCGAUCAAAGCACAAAAGCAUUCAAGACGAUAGCUUGGAAACGGUUUUCUUCUCGUCUCAUGAACAGUGUUUUUGGAUGUUUCAAGGAGAAAGGUGGCUUCAAGGAAU
This 654-nucleotide long non-coding RNA is filed under the name Selaginella moellendorffii. RNAcentral describes it as "long non-coding RNA (SMOE_LNC000605)". The record is from RNAcentral. Lineage: Eukaryota; Viridiplantae; Streptophyta; Lycopodiopsida; Selaginellales; Selaginellaceae.